UUUUUUUUUUUUUUUUCUGAGAUGGAGUUUCACUCUUGUUGCCCAGGCUAGAGUGCAAUGGUGUGUUCUCAGCUCACCGCAACCUCUGCCUCCCAGGUUCAAGCGAUUCUCCAGCCUCAGCCUCCUGAGUAGCUGGGAUUACAGGCAUGCACCAUCAUGCCCAGCUAAUUUUGUAUUUUUAGCAGAAAUGGGGUUUCUCCAUAUUGGUCAGGCUGGUCUCGAACUCCUAACCUCAGGUGAUCCGCCCACCUCAGCCUCCCAAAGUGCUGGGAUUACAGGCGUGAGCCACCACGCCUGGCCCGGAGGGUAAUUCUUAAACAACAGCAUGAAAGUCCUUAGUCUAGGGUUGCAGAUGCUUGGUGAAAUGGGGCAUUCUUCUCCUCUUCUGAUAUUGGCAACACUGAGAAAAACUUCUGAGCCCUCUUUGAGUCAUAGAGUUCUCUCUCUCCUGGUGGACUUCAGCUUCUCUUAUCCUUGGAAUCCAUACCCAUAUUUAUGAUAGCCACAGAUUUAAACAGUUCUGAGGAGCGUUGGUUGAAAAUCACACUUCUUAUCUUGGCAGUGGCAAAGAAGUGAUUUUUGCUUCCCAAUUCACUUUAAUUGGUCUCUUAACUAAUGUAUUCAACCCAAGACUUGAGAAGGUAGCAAAGAAUGACUGACACUCCUUCACACGCGUGCUCAUUCACUCCACAAACACACACCGAACCUUCUGUGUCCCAGGUUCUGUAUUGGGUGUUAGGGACACAAAGUUGCCGGCAUAAAGAACUCUCCACCUAUCAGGGGGUGCAGACAAAUAUAUAAAAGGUGGCAGUUGCCACUUUAAUGGAGGCAGCCACAGGUCCCUGAGCUCACAGGUGUCUGAUCUUCCCUAGAGGAAUAGUGAGAGGGACCUGGGAGGAGAUGGUGUCUUACAAGACCACCAAGGUUUCCUGAGCAGAGAAGAAAAGGAGGAACUGCAUCCUCAAUAGAGGAAACAGCAUGGGGAAGGGCCUGAUGGCACGAGGAUGCAGCAGUCAGAUGAAGAAGGACCUCGAAAAUGCCUGCUCAGAAGCUGGGAUUUUAUCCUUGGAGCUAUUGACGAACCUGAAGCAGGGGAAUGGCAUGAUCAUAUUCUGCAAGUUUCACUUGUGUCAUUUCCUGGUUUGACCCCUUGACCUGUUUUAUCAGUAAUAUUCAUGAAGGUAUCUGCCAUCCAAGAGCUUUCAUCUAUACCAAGAAAUUAGAUGACAAUAAUUAUUAAAAUAAUAAAAAUCUCAUAUUAGAGUUAUAUUGAAAUUUCUUUCUUGCUUAACAAUGAAGUUCUAGAAGACAGACAAGAUUUUGUUUACUAAUGUUUUCCCAGCGUCAACCACACACAAUGCCAACAUACAGCAGCUUUUCCUCAAUAAACAUGUAGUGAGUGAAUGAAUGAAUGAACAAAUGAAAGUUUGUUUCCACUGCUCAGUUUGCCAAGCACUUUCAUACUCAUUUAAAUCUCUCAAAACUUCUGUGAGGUAGAUAAUUCCCCUCCUUGCCCUGCCCCAUUUUGCACAUAGAAAAACUUGGGUCAGAGAAGAAAGACAUCUUAUAGUGAUGCAGGGACAAUAUAAGACAACAUGUAUGGCAGGCGCCAUGAGAAAACACUCACUGCUAACUGGAGUGGCCAGGGAAGGCAGCCUUGAACCUAGCCUUGAAGACCUAGUGUGUGCUCUUGGCCCCCAUUCCCCACUCAACAUCCCUCAAUGCUGGAAUUUUACCUUAUUAAUAGUCAGACCUCCAUAUCUAUGGGUUCCACAUCCUCAGAUUUCACCAGUCACAGAUCAAAAAUAUUUAAAACAAUAAUAUAAAUACAUAACAAACAACAAUAAAAAUACUUCUUUUUAAAAUGCAGUAUAACAACUAUUUACAUAACAUUUACAUUGUAUUAGGUAUUAUAGGUAGUCUAGAGAUGCUUUAAAGUAUACGGGAAGCAUAUGUGUGUAGGUUAUAUGCAAAUACUACACCAUUUUAUAUUAGAUUAAUAUCAGGGGCUUGACCAUCCUCAGAUUUUGGUAUCUGCGGGGAUCUUGGAACCAAUCCCCCACGGAUACCGACAGACAAUUGUAAUUGGUAUUGUUUAUCAAGUAUUUACUAUGUCAGGCAUUGGACAGGUUCACAUGCAUUACCUCAUAGUUUCACAUGAAAAUUAGAGUAGUAAAUACAGUCACCAGGUCUAUUUAAUGAAUAAGGAAACUAAGAUUUGAGAUAUUACAUAAUUUAACCAUUCUUCCGCAAUAAGCAAGCAAGGAGCUGGAUUGAAACUCAGGUCUGUUUGACUCAAAAAUAUUUUUUCUCACAAAUGCAGGGCCAAGAGUGAUAACCUGCGUUUCAAAGUAUCAUCUAUGGGCACAGAAAUAUGGAAAAAUGAGUAUAAACACCUUUUCUGCCACCAUUCCAUUCCCACUCCACAGGGUUAGCAUAAAAUACACCAGGAGCCGGGAGAAGGAAGGACAGUCUGCAUUCACCACACAAGCUUUAAAUAAUGAAUAGGGCAAUGGAUUAGAAGUCGAGGUAUCUCUGAAAUAAUGUCAAUAGAUUACUUUUAAGGUGUAGACCUUGGUAAGCCAAUUAACUCCUCUGCUAUAUAAGAAAGGGACCAGAAUUGACACAUUCUAAAAUCAUUUUAAACCUGAGUCUCCACGACUCAUCUAGACCUUUUUUUUUAGUUUAGUUGAAGCAUUUCUAGAAUAUCUUGCUUAUAUAUUAUGUCACAAGACUUGCCUAGCUCACAUCUUAGCAGUCUCAUAUUCCCUUCCCAGGAAAUCUUAAGAGGUUUCUAAUUGAUGACCAAUGCUAUAUUAAAAAUCAAAGAGAAGAAUAAUUGUUUUUCCACCUGACCAUAAGAAAAAAAUGAUAAUAAUAAUCAAAAUACUGCUCUUUUGUUAAAAAGGGUUAAAAAUCUGACUUAAGGCCGGGCGCAAUGGCUCAUGCCUGUAAUCUCAGCACUUUGGGAGGCUGAGGCGGGGGGAUCACCUGAGGUCAGGAGUUUGAGACCAGUCUGGCCAACAUGGUGAAACAAAACAAAACAAAACAAAACAAAACGUAAAACAAACAAUCAAAAAUCUAAAAAAACAAAAAAAUACAACAUGGUGAAACUAAAAAUAUUUUACAAAAAUUAGCCAGGCAUGGUGGUGUGCACCUGUAAUCCCAGCUACUCUGG
This is a long non-coding RNA of Macaca fascicularis (crab-eating macaque), 3178 nucleotides long. NCBI's taxonomy places the organism in Eukaryota, Metazoa, Chordata, Mammalia, Primates, Cercopithecidae. The record is from Ensembl.